Molecule: ribosomal RNA, 425 nt
Filed under: uncultured bacterium
Lineage: Bacteria
Description: partial 16S ribosomal RNA
Rfam family: Bacterial small subunit ribosomal RNA
Source: RNAcentral
GUGGGGAAUCUUGCGCAAUGGGCGAAAGCCUGACGCAGCCAUGCCGCGUGGAUGAUGAAGGUCUUAGGAUUGUAAAAUCCUUUCACCGGUGAAGAUAAUGACUGUAGCCGGAGAAGAAGCCCCGGCUAACUUCGUGCCAGCAGCCGCGGUAAUACGAAGGGGGCUAGCGUUGCUCGGAUUUACUGGGCGUAAAGGGCGCGUAGGCGGACAUUUAAGUCAGGGGUGAAAUCCCGGGGCUCAACCUCGGAUCUGCCUUUGAUACUGGGUGUCUUGAGUAUGAGAGAGGUGUGUGGAACUCCGAGUGUAGAGGUGAAAUUCGUAGAUAUUCGGAAGAACACCAGUGGCGAAGGCGACUCACUGGCUCAUUACUGACGCUGAGGCUCGAAAGCGUGGGGAGCAAACAGGAUUAGAUACCCUAGUAGUCC